AAAUUCUCUGCUGGAUGACCAAAAAAUAUGUAUGAAACUGGUGUCUAUAUUUGGGAUAUAGACACCAGUUUCAUACAUAUUUUUUGGUCAUCCAGCAGAGAAUU
This 104-nucleotide microRNA precursor is filed under the name Pelobates cultripes (western spadefoot toad). The record is from RNAcentral. Lineage: Eukaryota; Metazoa; Chordata; Amphibia; Anura; Pelobatidae.